Molecule: ribosomal RNA, 467 nt
Filed under: uncultured bacterium
Lineage: Bacteria
Description: partial 16S ribosomal RNA
Rfam family: Bacterial small subunit ribosomal RNA
Source: RNAcentral
GACGAACGCUGGCGGCGUGCUUAACACAUGCAAGUCGAACGGAAAGGCCCUGCUUUUGUGGGGUGCUCGAGUGGCGAACGGGUGAGUAACACGUGAGUAACCUGCCCUUGACUUUGGGAUAACUUCAGGAAACUGGGGCUAAUACCGGAUAGGAGCUCCUGCUGCAUGGUGGGGGUUGGAAAGUUUCGGCGGUUGGGGAUGGACUCGCGGCUUAUCAGCUUGUUGGUGGGGUAGUGGCUUACCAAGGCUUUGACGGGUAGCCGGCCUGAGAGGGUGACCGGCCACAUUGGGACGGAGAUACGGCCCAGACUCCUACGGGGGGCAGGAGUGGGGAAUAUUGCACAAUGGGCGGAAGCCUGAUGCAGCAACGCCGCGUGCGGGAUGACGGCCUUCGGGUUGUAAACCGCUUUCGCCUGUGACGAAGCGUGAGUGACGGUAAUGGGUAAAGAAGCACCGGCUAACUACGU